Molecule: transfer RNA, 71 nt
Filed under: Cercophora newfieldiana
Lineage: Eukaryota; Fungi; Ascomycota; Sordariomycetes; Sordariales; Lasiosphaeriaceae
Rfam family: tRNA
About the family: Transfer RNA (tRNA) molecules are approximately 80 nucleotides in length. Their secondary structure includes four short double-helical elements and three loops (D, anti-codon, and T loops).
Source: Rfam by way of RNAcentral
GCGUCAGUGGUUAAGUGGUAAAAUCCAUCGUUGCCAUCGAUGGGCCCCGCGUUCGAUUCGCGGCUGACGCA